RNAcentral lists this ribosomal RNA (433 nucleotides) under uncultured bacterium. Its description in RNAcentral is "partial 16S ribosomal RNA". It matches the Rfam family "Bacterial small subunit ribosomal RNA", at positions 29 to 507 of the family's 1533-position model. The record is from RNAcentral.
AACGAACGCUGGCGGCAUGCCUAACACAUGCAAGUCGAACGAGACCUUCGGGUCUAGUGGCGCACGGGUGCGUAACGCGUGGGAACCUGCCUUUAGGUUCGGAAUAACUCAGAGAAAUUUGAGCCAAUACCGGAUGAUGUCUUCGGACCAAAGAUUUAUCGCCUUUAGAUGGGCCCGCGUUGGAUUAGCUAGUUGGUGGGGUAAAGGCAUACCAAGGCGACGAUCCAUAGCUGGUCUGAGAGGAUGAUCAGCCACACUGGGACUGAGACACGGCCCAGACUCCUACGGGAGGCAGCAGUGGGGAAUAUUGGACCAUGGGCGAAAGGUUGAUCCAGUAAGGCCGCGUGAGUGAUGAAGGCCUUAGGGUUGUAAAGCUCUUUUAACCGAGAUGAUAAUGACAGUAUCGGGAGAAUAAGCUCCGGCUAACUCCGUG